This is a non-coding RNA of Delphinapterus leucas (beluga whale), 323 nucleotides long. The record is from RefSeq and is a predicted model, not a curated record. NCBI's taxonomy places the organism in Eukaryota, Metazoa, Chordata, Mammalia, Artiodactyla, Monodontidae.
AAGAGGGUUGACGCAAAAGACCAUAACAAGCGUGGUAGCUGCCCUCAGAGGGGUUCUAACUUAACACCUCGAGCCUUCACAGAGAUGUAAGCUUGCAUAGAAAGGCAACAAAGCAGGAAAAGUACUCCACGUAAUUCUUCUAGAGAUGCUUGGGGACGACACUUUGAGAAACGUGAAUCUACUGGACCCAUCUGAGGAAAUACUGACCAACAGCAGAGCCAUUCCUUGUGGCAUUCUGGCCACUGGGAAGAUCACAGUGAUAACUCUUGGCUGACCUGGGGCUGCUGUCAAGAGACAUGGGAUCCUUUCCACAUCCUUCUCAG